This 305-nucleotide ribosomal RNA is filed under the name uncultured bacterium. Its description in RNAcentral is "partial 16S ribosomal RNA". It matches the Rfam family "Bacterial small subunit ribosomal RNA", at positions 508 to 807 of the family's 1533-position model. The record is from RNAcentral.
ACAGCAGUCGCCGCGGUAAUACGAAGGGUGCAAGCGUUAAUCGGAAUUACCGGGCGUAAAGCGUGCGUAGGCGGUGAGUUAAGUCUGCUGUGAAAGCCUGGAGCUCAACUCCAGAAUUGCCUUUAAGACUGCCGAGCUAGCAGGUGAGAGAGGUAAGUGGAAUUCCGAGUGUAGAGGUGAAAUUCGUAGAUAUUGGGAAGAACACCGGUGGCGAAGGCGGCGACCUGGUCCUUUACUGACGCUGAGGCGCGAAAGCGUGGGGAGCAAACAGGAUUAGAUACCCCGGUAGUCCCUGUCUCUUAUAC